CCUACGGGAGGCAGCAGUGGGGAAUAUUGGACAAUGGGGGGAACCCUGAUCCAGCCAUGCCGCGUGUGUAAAGAAGGCCCUCGGGUUGUAAAGCACUUUCAGUGAGGAAGAACGCCUGGUGGUUAAUACCCAUCAGGAAAGACAUCACUCACAGAAGAAGCACCGGCUAACUCCGUGCCAGCAGCCGCGGUAAUACGGAGGGUGCGAGCGUUAAUCGGAAUUACUGGGCGUAAAGCGCGCGUAGGUGGCUUGAUAAGCCGGUUGUGAAAGCCCCGGGCUCAACCUGGGAACGGCAUCCGGAACUGUCAAGUUAGAGUGCAGGAGAGGAAGGUAGAAUUCCCGGUGUAGCGGUGAAAUGCGUAGAGAUCGGGAGGAAUACCAGUGGCGAAGGCGGCCUUCUGGACUGACACUGACACUGAGGUGCGAAAGCGUGGGUAGCAAACAGGAUUAGAUACCCUUGUAGUC
RNAcentral lists this ribosomal RNA (465 nucleotides) under Vreelandella stevensii. Its description in RNAcentral is "partial 16S ribosomal RNA". It matches the Rfam family "Bacterial small subunit ribosomal RNA", at positions 338 to 795 of the family's 1533-position model. Lineage: Bacteria; Pseudomonadati; Pseudomonadota; Gammaproteobacteria; Oceanospirillales; Halomonadaceae. The record is from RNAcentral.